This 270-nucleotide ribosomal RNA is filed under the name uncultured bacterium. RNAcentral's name for it is "partial 16S ribosomal RNA". It matches the Rfam family "Bacterial small subunit ribosomal RNA", at positions 524 to 791 of the family's 1533-position model. The record is from RNAcentral.
UACGUAGGGGGCGAGCGUUGUCCGGAGUUACUGGGCGUAAAGCGCACGCAGGCGGUCUGCUAAGUUUGGAGUGACAGUUGGUGGCUUAACUGCCAAAGUGCUUCGAAAACUGACAGACUUGAGGGCUUCAGAGGGACACGGAAUUCCGGGUGGAGUGGUGAAAUGCGUAGAGAUCCGGAGGAACACCAAAGGCGAAGGCAGUGUCCUGGGGAGUACCUGACGCUCAGGUGCGAAAGCCAGGGGAGCGAACGGGAAUUAGAGUACCCCAGU